CUAAGACGCCUGACUCAAGGUAGGCCAAUCAGAUUCCUCCCCUAGAAUUUGGAAUUGUGAUGUGGAAAGAGCCUAAGAGAUUCACAGGGAGGCAGAAAUGAGCCAGACACAUGGCGUGAGGAUGGGUCCAUUGGAUCGUGAGCUCCAGAGGGAAUCUACAAAUCCAUCUGCUGAGGUUUUCCUUCGGAGUAGAGCCAGCCCUGGUCCUUCUGAGCCCUGACGGGUUAACUUUUACUAGGAUUUUGAGAGGAUCUGCAUGCUUAGAAUAAACCUUCCUUUUCAUAAGUUACCUCAAUUGAUGUCAGAAUCUCCUAUAAGUCACCAAGAAGAGAAUAAGGAUUUUAAGACUACUGAUGGACAGCAGCUUAAAUAAUGACAAGAUGCUACUCAAUCAGCUGAAAGUGCCUUCCUGAAGCUGUGAUACAAACCUGAAUUCCACGCAUCCAGCCCCCCUUCCGGCCCUCCUUCACAUGCUUCCCAGUCCAGAGAAGACUCCUUUCUAAUCGUCUUCCGCCGAGAUGCCCACUGACUCUCUGUGGUGCUUCCACAACUCCCAUGAAGAUGCAGCACAUGGGGUCCCCUCCCUAACAAGUGGAUGUGCCAGUAGAGGAGUAUGCCAAGCCACUCUCCUGUUUAAAAAAAUCCAUCACCCUCUGAUGUUAAACAGAGAUGGCGUUCCAGGGGAAAACCAGAUUCCCAGCAUGGACAUUCCUCUGAAACUGGUGGGGGUGCAGCUGGGCGAAGGACACUAAGAACGCCUGCCUCCCGGUGUGUGGAGAAGGCCCACGGAGAAUCAGGCGUUUUCCCUUCUGUGGCCGUCUCCUACCACACCAGCUCAUUCUUCGCACGAGCCCCUUUGGUUCCUGACUACACUGUCUCCCAAGGUCUGGUACCAUUAGGUGUAGCAGCAGGUGAGUCUUAGAAGAUGUUUCCAAAACGAAGCUCAAGUUCAAUGCCACCAGCUGCCAAAAACUACCAGCUGGCUCUCCCGGAGAGGGUGGCACACUUCGGGACACGUACUGUCCUGGAAGGCCCUCCCUGGAAGCUGAGACGUGAGACUGCGUGUGGUAGCAACAUAAUCAACACAGCUGUCUUUGAGACUUAUUCUCUCCGAGUUUUGCUUCAGGAACAAGAAAUCAUUGCAACAGGGUCUGUAAUGAGGAAAACAAAUACAUAUUUUAAAUUUGGAUUUUCCUUAAAACAUUCAACAAGCCACUAACUUCAAACAUUGUAACAACCUUAACUCCUCGCCAAAUCAAUUGCAUUAUUCAGUUUUAUUGUUUUUUUUCCUCAAUUAAACAUUGGCAACUGGAACCUGUUUCACCGAAGAGGGAAGGCGGGUUUAAUGCCAUCCCGGCCCUGGGUUAUGGAGCUGCGGAAGGCUUGUCUGUGCAGUUAUCCAGCAGCUGGAUAUUUUCAAGUCUGAAAACUCACAGUCACUCAAAGGGAUAACCUAUAUCCAUCAUCUCACAAUAAUUGUAUUGAUUCUAAGGGUAAGGGAUUAAAUCUGACUUUUAAUGCUCUACCAUUUUAUCAGUGCAUUUGAAUAAAGUUUCAGGAUCUGCACAGGCCUUUCCCAUCGGAAUUUCAUGCAUAUCCCACUCAGAUAUCCUGUGGUUCUGGCUUGUCACAGAGCCAGGCACGUGCUUAUUGGAUUAGAAAUCUAGAUAGACGUUGGGGGCAGUUGAGAGCC
Molecule: long non-coding RNA, 1693 nt
Organism: Equus caballus (horse)
Lineage: Eukaryota; Metazoa; Chordata; Mammalia; Perissodactyla; Equidae
Source: Ensembl